RNAcentral lists this ribosomal RNA (310 nucleotides) under uncultured bacterium. Its description in RNAcentral is "partial 16S ribosomal RNA". It matches the Rfam family "Bacterial small subunit ribosomal RNA", at positions 503 to 807 of the family's 1533-position model. The record is from RNAcentral.
AAGAGACAGCAAUCGCCGCGGGAAUACAGAGGGUGCGAGCGUUAAUCGGAUUUACUGGGCGUAAAGCGUGCGUAGGCGGCUUCUUAAGUCGGAUGUGAAAUCCCUGAGCUUAACUUAGGAAUUGCAUUCGAUACUGGGAAGCUAGAGUAUGGGAGAGGAUGGUAGAAUUCCAGGUGUAGCGGUGAAAUGCGUAGAGAUCUGGAGGAAUACCGAUGGCGAAGGCAGCCAUCUGGCCUAAUACUGACGCUGAGGUACGAAAGCAUGGGGAGCAAACAGGAUUAGAUACCCCGGUAGUCCCUGUCUCUUAUAC